CUCGUAGACUCCUACGGGAGGCAGCAGUAGGGAAUUUUCCGCCAAUGGACGAAAGUCUGACGGAGCAAUGCCGCGUGAGUGAUGAAGGUUUCGAAUCGUAAAGCUCUGUUGUAAGGGAAGAAUAGCAGUGAGUAGGAAAUGACUACUGUGUGACGGUACCUUACCAGAAAGCCACGGCUAACUACGUGCCCAGCAGCGCGGUAAUACGUAGGUGGCAAAGCGUUAUCCGGAAUUAUUGGGCGUAAAGCGCAUGUAGGCGGCUCUUUAAGUCUGAUGUGAAAGCCUGUGGCUCAACCACAGAAUUGCAUUGGAUACUGGAGAGCUAGAAUCUUGGAGAGGUAAGUGGAAUUUCAUGUGUAGCGGUGGAAUGCGUAGAUAUAUGAAGGAACACCAAUGGCGAAGGCAGCUUACUGGACAAGUAUUGACGCUGAGAUGCGAAAGUGUGGGUAGCAAACAGGAUUAGAUACCCUGGUAG
This 475-nucleotide ribosomal RNA is filed under the name uncultured bacterium. RNAcentral describes it as "bacterial SSU rRNA". It matches the Rfam family "Bacterial small subunit ribosomal RNA", at positions 328 to 793 of the family's 1533-position model. The record is from RNAcentral.